GACGAACGCUGGCGGCGUGCCUAAUACAUGCAAGUCGAACGCACUCUCGUUUAGAUUGAAGGAGCUUGCUCCUGAUUGAUAAACAUUUGAGUGAGUGGCGGACGGGUGAGUAACACGUGGGUAACCUGCCCUAAAGUGGGGGAUAACAUUUGGAAACAGAUGCUAAUACCGCAUAAAACCUAACACCGCAUGGUGUAGGGUUGAAAGAUGGUUUCGGCUAUCACUUUAGGAUGGACCCGCGGUGCAUUAGUUAGUUGGUGAGGUAAAGGCUCACCAAGACCGUGAUGCAUAGCCGACCUGAGAGGGUAAUCGGCCACACUGGGACUGAGACACGGCCCAGACUCCUACGGGAGGCAGCAGUAGGGAAUCUUCCACAAUGGACGAAAGUCUGAUGGAGCAACGCCGCGUGAGUGAAGAAGGUUUUCGGAUCGUAAAACUCUGUUGUCGGAGAAGAAUGUAUCUGAUAGUAACUGAUCAGGUAGUGACGGUAUCCAACCAGAAAGCCACGGCUAACUACGUG
This 520-nucleotide ribosomal RNA is filed under the name Latilactobacillus sakei. RNAcentral describes it as "bacterial SSU rRNA". It matches the Rfam family "Bacterial small subunit ribosomal RNA", at positions 28 to 507 of the family's 1533-position model. The record is from RNAcentral. Lineage: Bacteria; Bacillati; Bacillota; Bacilli; Lactobacillales; Lactobacillaceae.